Long non-coding RNA from Mercurialis annua (annual mercury), 297 nucleotides. RefSeq lists it as uncharacterized. Lineage: Eukaryota; Viridiplantae; Streptophyta; Magnoliopsida; Malpighiales; Euphorbiaceae. The transcript has 2 exons. The record is from RefSeq and is a predicted model, not a curated record.
AAUGUGACUUGGUUUUGCGUUGUGCUAGUCCUAUGUGGUGUCUAGUACUCUUUAGAGUUAGGGUCUGAUUUUAAUUAUGAUUUUAAUAUUUUAUUUAGACCCGUCGACUGUUCGUACUUCAGAGGCGAACCAGAGUUAGGUGCUUGUCAGGAUCACGUGGAUUUAGCAAGCAGUUUGUGAUUUGAGCAUUUGGUCGAUCUCCGUUUCUUCAUUCUCGGAGGUUCUUUAUUUAUUUCAGAAAUAAAGUGUCGAACUAUUUUAAACUCUUAGACCGCAGUAGUAGUUUCAUAUUAUUCA